AUGAAGAACGUAGCGAAAUGCGAUAAGUAGUGUGAAUUGCAGAAUUCAGUGAAUCAUCGAAUCUUUGAACGCACAUUGCGCCCUUUGGUAUUCCAAAGGGCAUGCCUGUUCGAGCGUCAUUUGUACCCUCAAGCUUUGCUUGGUGUUGGGCGUCUUGUCUCUAGCUUUGCUGGAGACUCGCCUUAAAGUAAUUGGCAGCCGGCCUACUGGUUUCGGAGCGCAGCACAAGUCGCACUCUCUAUCAGCAAAGGUCUAGCAUCCAUUAAGCCUUUUUUUCAACUUUUGACCUCGGAUCAGGUAGGGAUACCCGCUGAACUUAAGCAUAUCCAAUAAGCGGAGGA
Molecule: unclassified non-coding RNA, 341 nt
Filed under: soil metagenome
Description: partial contains 5.8S ribosomal RNA, internal transcribed spacer 2, and large subunit ribosomal RNA
Rfam family: 5.8S ribosomal RNA (bases 1-119)
Source: RNAcentral